RNAcentral lists this ribosomal RNA (513 nucleotides) under uncultured bacterium. RNAcentral describes it as "partial 16S ribosomal RNA". It matches the Rfam family "Bacterial small subunit ribosomal RNA", at positions 28 to 523 of the family's 1533-position model. The record is from RNAcentral.
GACGAACGCUGGCGGCAUGCCUAAUACAUGCAAGUCGAGCGAACAGAUGAAGUGCUUGCACUUCUGACGUUAGCGGCGAACGGGUGAGUAACACGUAAGGAAUCUACCUAUAAGCGGGGGAUAACAUUCGGAAACGGGUGCUAAUACCGCAUAAUAUCUUCUUCCGCAUGGAAGAAGAUUGAAAGACGGCUCUGCUGUCACUUAUAGAUGACCUUGCGGUGCAUUAGUUAGUUGGUGGGGUAACGGCCUACCAAGACGAUGAUGCAUAGCCGACCUGAGAGGGUGAUCGGCCACAUGGGGACGGGGGCACGGCCCAAACUCCUACGGGGGGGAGCAGUAGGGAAUCUUCCGCAAAGGGCGAAAGCCUGACGGAGCAAUGCCGCGGGAGUGAAGAAGGCCUUCGGGUCGUAAAACUCGGUUAUAAGAGAAGAACAAAUUGUAGAGUAACUGCUACAGUCUUGACGGUAUCUUAUCAGAAAGCCACGGCUAACUACGUGCCAGCCGCCGCCGUAA